GACGAACGCUGGCGGCGUGCCUAAUACAUGCAAGUGGGACGCAAGGGAACACACUGUGCUUGCACACCGUGUUUUCUUGAGUCGCGAACGGGUGAGUAACGCGUAGGUAACCUGCCUAUUAGCGGGGGAUAACUAUUGGAAACGAUAGCUAAUACCGCAUAAUAUUAAUUAUUGCAUGAUAAUUGAUUGAAAGAUGCAAGCGCAUCACUAGUAGAUGGACCUGCGUUGUAUUAGCUAGUUGGUAAGGUAAGAGCUUACCAAGGCGACGAUACAUAGCCGACCUGAGAGGGUGAUCGGCCACACUGGGACUGAGACACGGCCCAGACUCCUACGGGAGGCAGCAGUAGGGAAUCUUCGGCAAUGGACGAAAGUCUGACCGAGCAACGCCGCGUGAGUGAAGAAGGUUUUCGGAUCGUAAAGCUCUGUUGUAAGUCAAGAACGUGUGUGAGAGGGAAAGUUCACAC
This 464-nucleotide ribosomal RNA is filed under the name Streptococcus mutans. RNAcentral describes it as "bacterial SSU rRNA". It matches the Rfam family "Bacterial small subunit ribosomal RNA", at positions 28 to 469 of the family's 1533-position model. The record is from RNAcentral. Lineage: Bacteria; Bacillati; Bacillota; Bacilli; Lactobacillales; Streptococcaceae.